CUAGGAUGAACGCUAGCGACAGGCCUAACACAUGCAAGUCGAGGGGCAGCACAAGGAGCAAUCUGAGGUGGCGACCGGCGCACGGGUGAGUAACACGUAUGCAACCUGCCUGUAAGCGGGGAAUAACCCGUUGAAAGACGGACUAAUACCGCAUAAUACUAAAUUACUGCAUGGUAAUUUAUUUAAACAUUUAUGGCUUACAGAUGGGCAUGCGCAUGAUUAGCUAGUUGGAGAGGUAACGGCUCCCCAAGGCAACGACCAUUAGGGGUUCUGAGAGGAAGGUCCCCACACUGGUACUGAGACACGGACCAGACUCCUACGGGAGGCAGCAGUGAGGAAUAUUGGUCAAUGGACGAGAGUCUGAACCAGCCAAGUCGCGUGCAGGAAGAAUGUCCUAUGGAUUGUAAACUGCUUUUGCAGGGGAAUAAAGUGCAUCACGUGUGAUGUUUUGUAUGUACUCUGCGAAUAAGGAUCGGCUAACUCCGUGCCAGCAGCUGC
RNAcentral lists this ribosomal RNA (498 nucleotides) under uncultured bacterium. RNAcentral's name for it is "bacterial SSU rRNA". It matches the Rfam family "Bacterial small subunit ribosomal RNA", at positions 26 to 518 of the family's 1533-position model. The record is from RNAcentral.